UUGUAGUAGUAGUGGUACUUGUAGUAGUAAUAGUAGUAGUAGUAGUAGUAGUAACAGUGGCGGCUGCUGCUUCUAAAUUUCACUUUCACUAUUAAUCUACUGCGAAUUAAAUCCGUCAUCUUAACCGCGUGUGUGUGUGUGUGUGUGUGUGUGUGUGUGUGCGUGUGUUCGUCGUGUGAGAGGAGGAGUCUCUGUUUUUGUGUAUUCGUGUGCUUAGCUAUCUAUAUGAGUUUGUGAGUGUGUGCAGGUGGGUGUACGCCAACCAAAUCUCAAACAAACAUUCUCCACUCCUUGUAUUUGUCACUACAGUUAUACAAUCAAACGAUAUAUUUUCAAAGUAAGAAAACAUGCUAAAAUUUAAAGAAAUCGAAGACGUUUGGUUAAAGGAAAACAUUUUCUAUAAAAGAAAGACAAAACAUUAAAAUUAUCUUUUACCAUUUAUUAGUUUCUACUACAGAGCUGCGGCCACGCUGAAGCACCAAAAACUAUUGUUCGUUUAGUAUUUCUAACUUUUGAAAUUUUUCAGUAGUUAAGUAUAUUUUUAUGAUUUUUAACUUUCACCAAUGUU
Long non-coding RNA from Octopus sinensis (East Asian common octopus), 568 nucleotides. RefSeq lists it as uncharacterized. Lineage: Eukaryota; Metazoa; Mollusca; Cephalopoda; Octopoda; Octopodidae. The transcript has 4 exons. The record is from RefSeq and is a predicted model, not a curated record.